AAACUAUCUUGGCCUUUUGGCUAAGAUCAAGUGUGGUAUCUGUUCUUAACAGUUUAAUAUCCGAUACAUCUUCUAUUCAAGGACAAUAUAUUAAAUGGAGUUUUGAAAUUAGGAGUUGGAAUAGGAGCUUCUCUAUCCACUCCACGCAUCAACCUGGUAUUGCAGUACCUUCAGGAAUGGUGCAAACAAA
Small nuclear RNA from Myodes glareolus (Bank vole), 190 nucleotides. RefSeq annotates it as U2 spliceosomal RNA. NCBI's taxonomy places the organism in Eukaryota, Metazoa, Chordata, Mammalia, Rodentia, Cricetidae. The record is from RefSeq and is a predicted model, not a curated record.